RNAcentral lists this ribosomal RNA (419 nucleotides) under uncultured bacterium. RNAcentral describes it as "partial 16S ribosomal RNA". It matches the Rfam family "Bacterial small subunit ribosomal RNA", at positions 355 to 783 of the family's 1533-position model. The record is from RNAcentral.
UGGGGAAUAUUGGACAAUGGGCGGAAGCCUGAUCCAGCAACGCCGCGUGAGGGAUGACGGCCUUCGGGUUGUAAACCUCUUUCAGUACCGACGAAGCGAAAGUGACGGUAGGUACAGAAGAAGGACCGGCCAACUACGUGCCAGCAGCCGCGGUAAAUACGUAGGGUCCGAGCGUUGUCCGGAAUUAUUGGGCGUAAAGGGCUCGUAGGCGGUUUGUCGCGUCGGGAGUGAAAACAGCGGGCUUAACUCGUUGCUUGCUUUCGAUACGGGCAGACUAGAGGUAUGCAGGGGAAGAAUGGAAUUCCUGGUGUAGCGUGGAAAUGCGCAGAAUAUCAGGAGGAACACCGGUGGCGAAGGCGGUUCUCUGGGCAUUACCUGACGCUGAGGAGCGAAAGUGUGGGGAGCGAACAGGAUUAGAU